CAGUAGCCGCGGUAAUACAGAGGGUGCGAGCGUUAAUCGGAUUUACUGGGCGUAAAGCGUGCGUAGGCGGCUUUUUAAGUCGGAUGUGAAAUCCCUGAGCUUAACUUAGGAAUUGAAUUCGAUACUGGGAAGCUAGAGUAUGGGAGAGGAUGGUAGAAUUCCAGGUGUAGCGGUGAAAUGCGUAGAGAUCUGGAGGAAUACCGAUGGCGAAGGCAGCCAUCUGGCCUAAUACUGACGCUGAGGUACGAAAGCAUGGGGAGCAAACAGGAUUAGAUACCCGAGUAGUCCCUGUCUCUUAUAC
RNAcentral lists this ribosomal RNA (301 nucleotides) under uncultured bacterium. RNAcentral describes it as "partial 16S ribosomal RNA". It matches the Rfam family "Bacterial small subunit ribosomal RNA", at positions 509 to 807 of the family's 1533-position model. The record is from RNAcentral.